Molecule: transfer RNA, 71 nt
Filed under: Camelus bactrianus (Bactrian camel)
Lineage: Eukaryota; Metazoa; Chordata; Mammalia; Artiodactyla; Camelidae
Also listed under: 2 other names
Rfam family: tRNA
About the family: Transfer RNA (tRNA) molecules are approximately 80 nucleotides in length. Their secondary structure includes four short double-helical elements and three loops (D, anti-codon, and T loops).
Source: Rfam by way of RNAcentral
AGGGUAAUAGCUCAGUGGUAGAGUGUAUGCUUAGCAUGCAUGAGUUCCUGGGUUCAAUCCCCAGUACCUUC